UACGGGGGGGGCAAGCGUUGUUCGGAAUUACUGGGCGUAAAGGGCUCGUAGGCGGCCAACUAAGUCAGACGUGAAAUCCCUCGGCUUAACCGGGGAACUGCAUCUGAUACUGGAUGGCUUGAGUUCAGGAGAGGGAUGCGGAAUUCCAGGUGUAGCGGUGAAAUGCGUAGAUAUCUGGAGGAACACCGGUGGCGAAGGCGGCAUCCUGGACCGACACUGACGCUGAGGAGCGAAAGCCAGGGGAGCAAACGGG
RNAcentral lists this ribosomal RNA (253 nucleotides) under uncultured bacterium. RNAcentral describes it as "partial 16S ribosomal RNA". It matches the Rfam family "Bacterial small subunit ribosomal RNA", at positions 524 to 776 of the family's 1533-position model. The record is from RNAcentral.